RNAcentral lists this long non-coding RNA (327 nucleotides) under Salvia miltiorrhiza (redroot sage). RNAcentral's name for it is "long non-coding RNA (SMIL_LNC008994)". Lineage: Eukaryota; Viridiplantae; Streptophyta; Magnoliopsida; Lamiales; Lamiaceae. The record is from RNAcentral.
UCCUCUCUCUUUCUCAUCUCCCUCUCUCUCCAGCGGCGCCGAGCUUGGAGAAUUCGCCGGAGCUCUCGCGGCUUGGGCAGACUUCGUCGGAGUAGAGGAUGAGGCGGCGGCGGUGGAGGAGAUCCGGUCCUCUGAAAUCGGCGGCGUGGAGGAGGUCGGUCAGGUGGCGGAGGAUGAGGCGGCGGCGGCAGAUCUGAUCUGAUGAGGCGGCGGUGGAUCUGAUCUGAUGAGGUGACGGCGGUGGAUCUGAUCUGAUCGUUGCGCCGCCUCCUCCAUCGGCAGAUCUGAUCUUCGCCUCCUUCGAUUUCAGCCAUCGACAGAUCUGAU